GUGCUCAUUUUGGCAGCACAUAUACUAAAAUUGGAACAAUACAGAGAAGAUUAGCAUAGCCCCUGUACAAG
RNAcentral lists this small nuclear RNA (71 nucleotides) under Notamacropus eugenii (tammar wallaby). Lineage: Eukaryota; Metazoa; Chordata; Mammalia; Diprotodontia; Macropodidae. The record is from RNAcentral.